CAUUGGAACGCCUUUGUAAAACCAAAGAACUUGAUUACAUGAGCUACAUUGUCCUAAGACUGUUCGAGAACACCGAGGUUUUACAAUGCACCCGCCUUUCCUCUCCAACUCAUGCGUUCAAGUCUUUAUACUUACUCGUGCCUGAAACCAGACAUUGAAACCUAUAAAAUGUUUUCUGCAGGUAUCUCUGGAAGACCCGAAACGAUUCAGGAUCGAACUUACAUUUAGCCGUGGCGCAGAUUUGUCUCCCUUAGAGGUAAAGAGCAAAGAGUAACUACACUCUUUCUUCUUGGGUAUUUGGU
This 302-nucleotide long non-coding RNA is filed under the name Eutrema salsugineum. Its description in RNAcentral is "long non-coding RNA (ESAL_LNC001110)". The record is from RNAcentral. Lineage: Eukaryota; Viridiplantae; Streptophyta; Magnoliopsida; Brassicales; Brassicaceae.